RNAcentral lists this ribosomal RNA (439 nucleotides) under uncultured bacterium. RNAcentral describes it as "bacterial SSU rRNA". It matches the Rfam family "Bacterial small subunit ribosomal RNA", at positions 338 to 795 of the family's 1533-position model. The record is from RNAcentral.
CCUACGGGGUGCACCAGUGGGGAAUAUUGGACAAUGGGCGCAAGCCUGAUCCAGCCAUGCCGCGUGAGUGAAGAAGGCCUUAGGGUUGUAAAGCUCUUUCACCGGUGAAGAUAAUGACGGUAUCGGAGAAGAAGCCCCGGCUAACUUCGUGCCAGCAGCCGCGGUAAUACGAAGGGGGCUAGCGUUGUUCGGAAUUACUAGGCGUAAAGCGCGCGUAGGCGGAUAGAUAAGUCAGAGGUGAAAUCCCGGGGCUCAACCCCGGAAUUGCCUUUGAUACUGUUUAUCUUGAGUGCAGAAGAGGUAAGUGGAAUUCCGAGUGUAGAGGUGAAAUUCGUAGAUAUUCGGAGGAACACCAGUGGCGAAGGCGGCUUACUGGUCUGCAACUGACGCUGAGGCGCGAAAGCGUGGGGAGCAAACAGGAUUAGAUACCCCUGUAGUC